CCCAGUGGAAAAAAUAAAGAGGAUCCUGACGGCAAGGCUAUGUGAUUUACAAAACGUUGCUCUACAGCCCAAAACCAAUCAUAUUAUUUUUGGACCUACAAAUCUACACACUCCUGUCCAUUACCGGGCCGGCAAUAAUUGAGUAGAGCCCAAUAACGAGAUACAGAGGCCUGAACUUCUAGCAACAUAGCAGCGAAACGGCAUCUCAAGAGCAGGAAGUCAGGAACUGCAGUCAACGAUUCGAAGAGAUGCAGAAAGCAUUGAGAGUGUAUGGACAGGUUCUUCGGCUAGUGAGGCGGCUACCAAAGGACUCAAGGCCUUAUUACGCUAAAUACGCACGCGAAAACUUCGUCAACUACAGAGAUGUCGAAGUCAGUGACACACAAUUCCUCGACGAGCUUUUCCUUCGAGCAUAUAACCACUCCCUAUGGGUUCUCAACAAGUAUUCGGUCGAUGAAUCAACUGCUAAUAAGCUAAAGGAAAUUUGUUGCGGCUGAAAAAGCAACAAUGAGUGUGUUUACCAGCUGUUCGAUGCCAUGCCUCAGUGAGUAGGCACGCUUUCUUUUCUGUUCCAAACGCAAUUUGUUGUGCUUAUUUCUAUAAUUUUAAGAUAUUAAUGCUUGCCGAAUAGCGACAGAUUGUUACGAUCAAGAAACAUGGUCGAUCGAAUGAAGCAUCUCAUUUUGAUCUA
Long non-coding RNA from Populus euphratica (Euphrates poplar), 691 nucleotides. RefSeq lists it as uncharacterized. The record is from RefSeq and is a predicted model, not a curated record. The transcript is spliced from 2 exons. NCBI's taxonomy places the organism in Eukaryota, Viridiplantae, Streptophyta, Magnoliopsida, Malpighiales, Salicaceae.